UCCUACGGGAGGCAGCAGUCGAAUAUUGCACAAUGGCGCAAGCCUGAUGCAGCCAUGCCGCGUGUAUGAAGAAGGCCUUCGGGUUGUAAGUACUUUCAGCGAGGAGAAGACGCUGUGGCUAAUACUGCAGCGAUGACGUACUCGCAGAGAGCCGUCCA
Molecule: ribosomal RNA, 158 nt
Filed under: uncultured organism
Description: partial 16S ribosomal RNA
Rfam family: Bacterial small subunit ribosomal RNA
Source: RNAcentral